This 253-nucleotide ribosomal RNA is filed under the name uncultured bacterium. RNAcentral describes it as "partial 16S ribosomal RNA". It matches the Rfam family "Bacterial small subunit ribosomal RNA", at positions 524 to 776 of the family's 1533-position model. The record is from RNAcentral.
UACGUAGGGAGCUAGCGUUGUCCGGAAUCAUUGGGCGUAAAGAGCGUGUAGGCGGCCGAGUAAGUCCGGUGUGAAAACUCGAGGCUUAACCUCGAGAUGUCAUCGGAAACUAUUCGGCUAGAGUCCGGAAGAGGAGAGUGGAAUUCCUGGUGUAGCGGUGAAAUGCGCAGAUAUCAGGAAGAACACCUAUGGCGAAAGCAGCUCUCUGGGACGGUACUGACGCUGAGACGCGAAAGCGUGGGGAGCGAACAGG